AUUGAACGCUGGCGGCAUGCCUUACACAUGCAAGUCGAACGGCAGCACGGGUGCUUGCACCUGGUGGCGAGUGGCGAACGGGUGAGUAAUACAUCGGAACAUGUCCUGUAGUGGGGGAUAGCCCGGCGAAAGCCGGAUUAAUACCGCAUACGAUCUACGGAUGAAAGCGGGGGACCUUCGGGCCUCGCGCUAUAGGGUUGGCCGAUGGCUGAUUAGCUAGUUGGUGGGGUAAAGGCCUACCAAGGCGACGAUCAGUAGCUGGUCUGAGAGGACGACCAGCCACACUGGGACUGAGACACGGCCCAGACUCCUACGGGAGGCAGCAGUGGGGAAUUUUGGACAAUGGGCGAAAGCCUGAUCCAGCAAUGCCGCGUGUGUGAAGAAGGCCUUCGGGUUGUAAAGCACUUUUGUCCGGAAAGAAAUCCUUGGCUCUAAUACAGUCGGGGGAUGACGGUACCGGAAGAAUAAGCACCGGCUAACUACGUGCCAGCAGCCGCGGUAAUACGUAGGGUGCGAGCGUUAAUCGGAAUUACUGGGCGUAAAGCGUGCGCAGGCGGUUUGCUAAGACCGAUGUGAAAUCCCCGGGCUCAACCUGGGAACUGCAUUGGUGACUGGCAGGCUAGAGUAUGGCAGAGGGGGGUAGAAUUCCACGUGUAGCAGUGAAAUGCGUAGAGAUGUGGAGGAAUACCGAUGGCGAAAGGCAGCCCCCUGGGCCAAUACUGACGCUCAUGCACGAAAGCGUGGGGGAGCAAACAGGAUUAGAUACCCUGGUAGUCCACGCCCUAAACGAUGUCAACUAGUUGUUGGGGAUUCAUUUCCUUAGUAACGUAGCUAACGCGUGAAGUUGACCGCCUGGGGAGUACGGUCGCAAGAUUAAAACUCAAAGGAAUUGACGGGGACCCGCACAAGCGGUGGAUGAUGUGGAUUAAUUCGAUGCAACGCGAAAAACCUUACCUACCCUUGACAUGGUCGGAAUCCCGCUGAGAGGUGGGAGUGCUCGAAAGAGAACCGGCGCACAGGUGCUGCAUGGCUGUCGUCAGCUCGUGUCGUGAGAUGUUGGGUUAAGUCCCGCAACGAGCGCAACCCUUGUCCUUAGUUGCUACGCAAGAGCACUCUAAGGAGACUGCCGGUGACAAACCGGAGGAAGGUGGGGAUGACGUCAAGUCCUCAUGGCCCUUAUGGGUAGGGCUUCACACGUCAUACAAUGGUCGGAACAGAGGGUUGCCAACCCGCGAGGGGGAGCUAAUCCCAGAAAACCGAUCGUAGUCCGGAUUGCACUCUGCAACUCGAGUGCAUGAAGCUGGAAUCGCUAGUAAUCGCGGAUCAGCAUGCCGCGGUGAAUACGUUCCCGGGUCUUG
Molecule: ribosomal RNA, 1358 nt
Filed under: uncultured beta proteobacterium
Lineage: Bacteria; Pseudomonadati; Pseudomonadota; Betaproteobacteria
Description: 16S ribosomal RNA
Rfam family: Bacterial small subunit ribosomal RNA
Source: RNAcentral